RNAcentral lists this ribosomal RNA (247 nucleotides) under uncultured bacterium. RNAcentral describes it as "partial 16S ribosomal RNA". It matches the Rfam family "Bacterial small subunit ribosomal RNA", at positions 523 to 769 of the family's 1533-position model. The record is from RNAcentral.
AUACGUAGGUGGCAAGCGUUGUCCGGAAUCACUGGGCGUAAAGCGCGCGUAGGCCGCCUUCUAAGUCGGACGUGAAAGCCCUCGGCUCAACCGUGGAGGGUCAUUGGAAACUGGGGAACUUGAGUGCAGAAGAGGAAAGUGGAAUUCCAAGUGUAGCGGUGAAAUGCGUAGAGAUUUGGAGGAACACCAGUGGCGAAGGCGACUUUCUGGUCUGUAACUGACACUGAGGCGCGAAAGCGUGGGGAGC